AGUAAACGGCGGCCGUAACAAUAACGGUCCUAAGGUAGCGAAAUUCCUUGUCGGGUAAGUUCCGACCCGCACGAAAGGCGUAACGAUUUGGGCACUGUCUCAACGAGAGACUCGGUGAAAUCAUAGUACCUGUGAAGAUGCAGGUUACCCGCGACAGGACGGAAAGACCCCGUGGAGCUUUACUGUAGCCUGAUAUUGAAAUUCGGCACAGCUUGUACAGGAUAGGUAGGAGCCUUUGAAACGUGAGCGCUAGCUUACGUGGAGGCGUUGGUGGGAUACUACCCUAGCUGUGUUGGCUUUCUAACCCGCACCACUUAUCGUGGUGGGAGACAGUGUCAGGCGGGCAGUUUGACUGGGGCGGUCGCCUCCUAAAAGGUAACGGAGGCGCCCAAAGGUUCCCUCAGCCUGGUUGGCAAUCAGGUGUUGAGUGUAAGUGCACAAGGGAGCUUGACUGUGAGACUGGCAGGUCGAGCAGGGACGAAAGUCG
Molecule: ribosomal RNA, 487 nt
Filed under: Anophryoides haemophila
Lineage: Eukaryota; Ciliophora; Oligohymenophorea; Philasterida; Glauconematidae
Description: partial Bacterial large subunit ribosomal RNA
Rfam family: Bacterial large subunit ribosomal RNA
Source: RNAcentral